RNAcentral lists this ribosomal RNA (253 nucleotides) under uncultured bacterium. Its description in RNAcentral is "partial 16S ribosomal RNA". It matches the Rfam family "Bacterial small subunit ribosomal RNA", at positions 524 to 776 of the family's 1533-position model. The record is from RNAcentral.
UACGUAGGGUGCGAGCGUUAAUCGGAACUACUGGGCGUAAAGCGUGCGCAGGCGGUUUUGCAAGCCGGAUGUGAAAUCCCCGGGCUCAACCUGGGAAUGACAUUUGGGACUGCAAGGCUCGAGUGCGGCAGAGGAGACUGGAAUUCCUGGUGUAGCAGUGAAAUGCGUAGAUAUCAGGAGGAAUACCGAUGGCGAAGGCAGGUCUCUGGGCUGACACUGACGCUCAUGCACGAAAGCGUGGGGAGCAAACAGG